RNAcentral lists this transfer RNA (74 nucleotides) under Treponema sp. RNAcentral describes it as "tRNA-Arg". It matches the Rfam family "tRNA". Rfam says of the family: Transfer RNA (tRNA) molecules are approximately 80 nucleotides in length. Their secondary structure includes four short double-helical elements and three loops (D, anti-codon, and T loops). Further hydrogen bonds mediate the characteristic L-shaped molecular structure. tRNAs have two regions of fundamental functional importance: the anti-codon, which is responsible for specific mRNA codon recognition, and the 3' end, to which the tRNAs corresponding amino acid is attached (by aminoacyl-tRNA synthetases). tRNAs cope with the degeneracy of the genetic code in two manners: having more than one tRNA (with a specific anti-codon) for a particular amino acid; and 'wobble' base-pairing, i.e. permitting non-standard base-pairing at the 3rd anti-codon position. Lineage: Bacteria; Pseudomonadati; Spirochaetota; Spirochaetia; Treponematales; Treponemataceae. The record is from RNAcentral.
GCGUCCGUAGCUCAACUGGAUAGAGCGACGGACUUCGAAUCCGUAGGUCGCAGGUUCGAGUCCUGUCGGACGCA